RNAcentral lists this long non-coding RNA (2670 nucleotides) under Marmota monax (woodchuck). The record is from RNAcentral. Lineage: Eukaryota; Metazoa; Chordata; Mammalia; Rodentia; Sciuridae.
CCGCUCUGUACGUCGAGCUCUGUGUUACAGUUGGUCACAGUCUGUUGUCCUGUGGGUUUCAGGAAAUGAAACUAUCUUAACACAGUCUGCCUCAGAAAUUUGCAAACAGGACUAUAAAUUGGGGUGGAAAGUGGGAAUCCAAUCCUUGUUAUGAGCCAGGAGUGGCCUUUGGUACUUACAUCUAAGAAUCACGACUGAUCUUCAUCAGAAGUCCUUAGGCAAGUCAUAUCCUCAAUUUUAUAGGUAAAAAUCCUGAGGCUUUAAGUGGAGUAGGGCGAUUGUAUGAGUCCACUCUCUGCCACUAAAAUCAGAUCUGUGAGGCAGUUAACUUGGAAAGAGGAAAGGUUUCCUUGGCGUACGCUUUUGAAGGUUCCAGCUUAUGACUGAGUGCCCUAAUACUUGGGGCCUCCGGAGAGACAGUAAGUACAUCAUGGCCAGAGGGUGUGCUGGAAGAAACCUCUCACCGUGUGAGCUAGGGGAAAAGAGAAAACAAACAGGAAGAAGAAGAGACUGGGGCCCCACAGUUCCCUGCAAGGGCAUGCCCUCAGUGACCUGAGGACUCUGACUAGGCACCAACCUCCAAAAGUCCCUCUUCCUCCCAGUAGCACUGCCUGGGGACUAAUCUUUUCCAGGUGGUCCCUGGGGAUGUCCUCUUCCAAACCACAGCUGGGACUGAUUCAGGGUUGUGCAACUGGCAGGGGACGGACCCCAGACCUGUGAUCCUUUCUGAUAUGGACCUCCUUCCCUCCCCCCAGGCUUUAAGGCAUUGGUUGGACUGCUAGCCUCUCAAAAUGGACUGGAGACCUGCCUAAGAACCCUCCCCACCCUGGUAUUCCUCAAUGGUGGAAGUCCACGUGACCAAGCUUCAGCUGUGUGAACUGUACAGUGGAUGCGUCUGAAGCACCCAUCCCUGACUUCUGGGUGCGCCACCGACACCUUAGGAAAGGCCAAGGGGUACUCUGUCUAGUCUGCAUCUGCUCUGCUGGCAUCAGCCUACAGGUCACUCAUUACGAGGGACCGUGGGCUCCUACCUUCAUAACUGAAGUCUCAGAUCCAAUGACCAGAAAAUUCCAGAAACAGCACAUCCCUCUGCAGCCUGGAACAGAAUCCUACUGGAAAGCGGUUUCUUCCGGAGCUACGUGGUAAAAAGGCAGAAUCAUUGGAAACAUUUUCUCUUGGAUAUUUUGUCUUCGAAUUUUUACCAGUAAUGUCACUGAGGUCACACAACGUUAAGUGACCAUUUGUUUUUGUUUCUGGGGCCAUAUGUCACUCCUGCCCUCAGGAAUCUUUGGGGAGCUCAGUCAAGAGGUGUACAUCGGUGCUUGGUGCUGGAACCCAUUGCCAGAGAAGAAAUAGGCGUAUUGGGAGGAAGGAGGCCUGGGUCCUGUGUAGCAGUAGCUCCUCCUCCAUUGGCGCCCCACGGGGACUUCAGCAGUAACGCGUUCCACAGCAAGAAUGCACUGCUUUGUGGAAGACUUUGUCAUACCCUGAGGAUUUGAUGGCGAAUCCACAAAUACAGUUUUAAUAACUGAGACUAACAGAUCCGCCCUACACACAAUGUUGGACUGCUUUGUCCCCUGCAGGGUGACACGCGUGUUCUGAGUCACCCAAACCAGGGAUCCACAGGGAAGCCUGGGACAGAAACCGAGCUUUCCCUCUCUGCUUUAACCCUGGACAGAAUGCUCACCCAGAGUCCAGGGCAGCCUGAGCACCCCUGCCAGGAACAGCUGCCGGGUGUCAGGUCAGCCUUGGGGACCCCAGCUAACGCCUGGUAGUGCUUUAUGUCCUUGCCAUUGGGUAACUGAAAAUCAGUUCCUCUGCAAGGACGUGAAUGCCAUGGGCCAUUAUCUUUUAGAUACAAAUGACCUUCUUGUUGCCUCUUUAAAGAUAAUCUCUGGCAUCCUUGUGUAUCCUCGCAGAGUGUGUUCAGGGGGGAUGGUCCCAGAUAAUCUAGGCAAUUUGUCGUUGGAUUAUCACUUGUUACAGAGCAGCAGUGCCUGUUUCCCCUUGCUCUGAUGGCAUGAGAUGCAGCUUGGUGACUUUUUUCAUUUAUUUCUGUAAGAAACUUAAGAGUUUGGGCAGAUAAAAUGGAGAGUCCACAAACUCCCCACCCUCUGUCUCAUCCCAAGGGCCAGGAGGACGUUUGGAAAACUCAGGGCCUGGAGAGGGAUCAUCUUCUUCCACUGUCAGGAUUUUGUCUGAGGAAAGAUUUGUAGAUGAAUUAACAGAGAGGUCUGAGAGACCCAGUUCUGUCACCUCUCCAGGCUUCCAAUGGACAGGCAAAGCAAUUUUAAUCUUAAAAAUGAUGUCCCAGAGAGUUGUGAAAAAGGCUGGUGCAGACCAGCCCACACUUCCCUCAGUGGCUCCUGUCUUGCCCACCUGAGGACAAGGUGCGCUCUCACCUGCAUCCAUCCUGGUGACGUCUCCGCAGAGCUCCCUGAUACUCUUGACGUCCGCACUGAGGCUCCUAACAUUUUCUGCUCCCUUUUCUCCUGGUCAGCUCUGAGAAGGCACAGCCAGCCCACCUCUACUGCCUUACCUCCCCGGAGCCCUCGCUCUCCCAUGGCCUCAAGUCUGACAGGACCUGUCUGUACCGGAACCAGACACCGUUAUGAUUUCAGCUAGUGAUAUUUUUAUUAUCUUUAAUCUUUAAAACUACUGAACAAUUUU